UACGUAGGGAGCAAGCGUUGUUCGGAUUUACUGGGCGUAAAGGGCGCGUAGGCGGCGCGGUAAGUCACUUGUGAAAUCUCUGAGCUUAACUCAGAACGGCCAAGUGAUACUGUUGUGCUAGAGUGCGGAAGGGGCUACUGGAAUUCUCGGUGUAGCGGUGAAAUGCGUAGAUAUCGAGAGGAACACCUGCGGCGAAGGCGGGUAGCUGGGCCGACACUGACGCUGAGGCGCGAAAGCCAGGGGAGCGAACGGG
This 253-nucleotide ribosomal RNA is filed under the name uncultured bacterium. RNAcentral describes it as "partial 16S ribosomal RNA". It matches the Rfam family "Bacterial small subunit ribosomal RNA", at positions 524 to 776 of the family's 1533-position model. The record is from RNAcentral.